UCCUAGACACGUAAAUCCUUUAAAGUUGAGCUCGAUAGGUCCGUUAAUUCUUUUUUGUAGAUUUUGUUAAAAAAUGUGUAAAUGUGGCAAAUUAUAGAUGACCUUGUGUGUAACUAAGAUGAUUCAUGACAACUUAAAUUCAUCCCUUCCUAUCUCCCUUAUAUUUAUUCCUUUAAUCUAAAUCCCAAAUCUUAAAAUCUGAAAACCCUAAAAAUGAAAACCAUCCAAUUCUCAAAUUGUUGCAACAAUGUCUUCAUUCAAUGGUUAUCCCUCCCAUUCUCGAAUCCAAGACAAUGCGUUUUCAUAUAAAAUGCGAGGAAUGGUGGAAUCGUUCCUCGUUGUCUUUGUGAACUCAAAGCCAUUGUGAAAACUGUUGAAAAAUUAGGGCCAAAUAGAGGAAGAAAGUUCUAGGGAUGCAUAAAUUUUGUGAGUCAAGACGUUGAUGGUGGUUGUUCAUUCUUUGAUUGGUGUUCAAAAGAUAUUCAUUAGGCUCAUGGUCAGGCUCAGACACAAGCUCAGGUUCAGGGUCAUGGUGUUCCACAUUGUUGAGAAUGUUGACACUCAAAAGGACUAUAAUCAGGAUGAGUGAGAGGGAAAAAUUCUCAAAAAAUGUGAUGACAGUUGUACUUGUAAUUUGUCUAUUGUUGGCAAUAUUUUGUAUCAUGCUGAUAUCCAAGUCUUGAACAUCUAAGUGUGGCUGUUGAAUUUUAGGAAUUGGGUCUGUAGGAUGAAGUCUAUUUGUGUAAUUUAAUUGUUUGGUUGUAUUGAAUAUAUGUAUAAGUCUCAUUUCCAUUAAUCAAAUAAUGUUUAAGUUAUGUAAUUUAA
Cicer arietinum (chickpea) is the source of this 825-nucleotide long non-coding RNA. RefSeq lists it as uncharacterized. Lineage: Eukaryota; Viridiplantae; Streptophyta; Magnoliopsida; Fabales; Fabaceae. The record is from RefSeq and is a predicted model, not a curated record.